RNAcentral lists this long non-coding RNA (2105 nucleotides) under Mus musculus (house mouse). RNAcentral describes it as "long non-coding RNA chr13:83529810-83531915". The record is from RNAcentral. Lineage: Eukaryota; Metazoa; Chordata; Mammalia; Rodentia; Muridae.
AGAGACAGAGACAGAGAGAGAGACAGAGAGAAGCAGAGAGACAGAGACAGAGGAAGAGACACAAAGAGAGAGACAGAGGGAGACAGACAGAGAGAGACACAACGGGAGAGACACGUGGUAGGGUGUGAAAUAGCCACCCCUGAUUAAAAAGUACACAGAAUAUUAGCAAAAUUUGCCUAUUGAUUAUUUUGUCCUAAGUUAUUCCGUGAUACAGUGCCAUUACAAUUCUCGUCUUGUUGGACAAAUUUCAAAGAAUGUAAGGGGUGUGUUUCUUUCGUUUAAGGAAGCAAACAUCUAGGAAGGGGUGGGCCUUUCCCACAGGAGCCGCAUUUCUUCCCCUGGAGAGCUGAAGCAAAUCUGUAGUAUGUGAGAGACUGGCCCAUAAGAAACAGAAUGAUUUGUAGUGAUCUGUUCUAGUUAGUGAGCAAAGCAAACCAGAAAGAGUUUUUCCUCUGAAAAACAGCUCCUGUCUGCCGCUUAAUACUCAGUGCUGAAAACGGACCAUAAAACAAAACAGAGCAAAGAAACAAAGAAAUCACAUUUAUAGUGUUUGUGCUCACAACUAUAUAGUACAUUGAGAUAAUUUUGACAACUUCACAUUGUGUAUAGCAUUAAGAUGUAGAAAUCAAACGUGUUAUACACAUACAUUUUCCAACCCCAUUGUGAGGCUAUGGAGGUAGCAUAUGACAAAGAAUGCUACAGUAAAAUAUAAGAAUACCGAAAGGACAAUCUGACAUGAUGUUAUUUCGUACUUUCUUGCUCUCACUGCACAAAGAAAAGGCAUAUUCAUGCUAAGAAAGGAGUUUCUAUUACCUGUUAUAUAAACCCAUGGUCUAGCCUCAUUGGCAAAACAAGUGACAUUUGCUUUCACUACAAUGUAUCUGCUAUACAUUUCUAUCCAAUCUCUGUUACUUGUUUUAUUUGAAAGUAUAGCUGGUAUAAACAAAAUUCAGAGUGCACAUAAAAAUAAUUUUCUGAGGGCAUUAUAUAGGAAAUCAGUGUCAUGACAAGAAAUAAAGGCAGUAAACUUAUUACAAAGAAAAUCUGUAGAAAUCAGUACUAUUUAAGAAGGGACACCUUUGAAAGACUUUAUUCAUUCUUAAUGCAAAAAAUUUGAAAUGAAUGGAGUAAUGGUGUUCAGCCUGCUUAUUGAAUGGCCGUGCAAGACUUCAAGCAAUGGUUUAAAUAAAGUCCCUUCAACUUGUGUGAGUGACUGGAGGAAGCGGGCUUUGAAGCAGUCCCUAGUGGGAACCUGAUUUUUUUUCAACUUAUCCUGAGAGUCUCUUGGUUUUCUUCCUGCAACUUGUAAUAGAUAAGAUAAAUAUGAAGAUGCGUACAUACGUUGUUUAUAGAUGCUGUGAAUUUCUAGCCUGUUGAAUUUUAAAAGUGUUAGAUAUGGUUCUUUGUUAGAGGAUGUAAACUGCUUAAAAGAAAAACAACCAAAACCAGCAUAUUUUUUAAUAUAUCUGUAAUCUUUUCAGCAAGCUAUAAUGAUAGCAAAAGAACACAACCAUUCCCCAAACCCCAAAUAUUGGCAUAUUUGGCUUAAAUUUGCUCAGUUUUUAUGAAAUUAGACAGCAGAUUUGUCAAUAUAAAUAUAAGGAAAUUUGCCUAGUAGGGUAAUAAAGUUGACUUUCAGUUCUUAGAUCAUAAUUAAUUGUUGACCCUGCAUAAGGUGUAUAACAAGCCAUUCUGGAAAGCUGAUGUUUUUAAUGGAACUUGAAGGCUUGGGAUCUCUUUAUAGUCAUUUUGAAGAUGUGGUUAUUUAGCUGAAAUAUUCACUGGACAUUUUAUUUUUAUAAAUCAUGGUCACACAAGGAAGGCUUUAUAGGACAGACUACCUAAUUGCAGUCAAGGAUCUCUUUAGUGAAUGAACACACACAGAAGAACACAUAUUUUAAGAAUAUAAUGGUCUUGUAUUUUUUUCAAAUUACCACACUUUUUAUAUCAGAACAAAACAUAUGUGUCAAGGCAGAUGUUUUAAGUUAUACCUUUCAUGUAGGUGAGUCUGUAAAUAUACAAUUCGACUUAAAUGGCUUUGUGGGAAGGUAGUUUGGGGAAUUUAAAAAGGAAGCUCUCAGUUACUGUGGUUUCAACUCUUUCUU